UCACAAAAAGAGAUUGUUCAUGUAGUUGCAUCACAUUUAGGGUUGAGUCUAGGAUGUUUCAUAUAGGAUUGUUGCAUUCACAUUGCAUAGGGAAUAAUGAUGAGAUAGUCUUGUAAGCAUUUUGGUUCACCCGAUAAACUCAGUGCCCUCGUUGUUAGUUGUAUGAUGCAUAGUCAAUGAAAUUGAAGUAGAACUGCACCAUGCCUAAAAUGCUCUACUCGACCACACUGUGAAGAUUUGAUACCAUUCUCUAUCAAUUCGAACCUGAAUCUGAUUUAAAAUUAUCAUGUCUUAACAUCGAAUUUAAACUCAUGGAUACCCUAAAAUACUUGGACUUCCUUACAGGACUCUUGUUUGUCCAAGUAGCUGACUCCCCUUAUUGGAGCAGUUAACCCCAACCUUAAGCCUAAACCUUCUUUCAAGCCUUUAUCACUUGUGAGUGUCUGUGAGGUCUUAUUCCGAUUGAGCUUGGUAGAAAGUGUUAGGUUCGUAACGAAAGAGAUAGUGUUUCAUGUAGUUCUAAUUUACGUUAUCCAGACUAGAUAGGACUAGGUGGGCGCUUAUAUCGUGGGUUGGGAUGUUUCUAAAAGAAAGAAAAUAGUGAAUUCAUUGUUGAUAAGGAAAGGGAAAGGAAUUCUAGGGGAAGUAAGCUAAAAAAGUUAGAAAAAGUCUAGUAAAGGUUUUGGGAAUGUCAAAAAAAAGAAUGAGGUUCUUGUCAGCUAAAGAAGAAGGGUAAAAAGCCCUUAGUUUUAAAGAUUAAAACCAUGAACCUUAGUUUUUACAAGAAAUCCAAAUCCGUUAGAAGUAUCAAAGUGUUGAGAAAGCUUCUCUUAGAGUUAAGAGAAAAGAAAAGAAUGAUCUGAAAAAGGGUUUAAAAGAUUCAUGAAUGCAAAGGGUAGAGUUAAGUUAUUAUUUUGGGAUUGGAGAUGGGAUUACCAUUAGAGCUUCAUUUGUUAUACUUUGGGUAGAUGGGAUCUUAUCUCUGUAUGCAUAAUUAGGGACUUACCUUUAGCAUUAUACUAAAGCUCAAUCAUUCUUGAGAGAUCUCAUUUUACUAAAACCUAUUCUUUAAGGGACCAUCUUUGUCUCUUGACCUUCACCUUAGCCAAAUGAGUUCAUUGAUGAUGCAUUGCUUGAUUCACGUUCUAGAACUAAUGAAUUUUAAAGGGAUUGUGGAUGUCGGAUCUGGUGCUAACCAAACCCGCAAUUUGGUGAGACAUUUGGAGUGUGUAGGGCUUUGAGAAAGGCCCGACCAAGCGGAAAAGCCCAUCACUAGGCCAGUUAUCUAGAAACCGUUUUAUAUUGCUUCGUUAACGAAAAGAUUCUGAGUUAAUAACACGCAUUGAUUACCUGAAGAUUCGUAACAUACGCUGAAGCGGGAUCUGCGGACUGAGCUGGAUGUUCAUAACGUACGGAGUUAGUGAAGCGAUAUCAGCUGGACAUUUAGUUCGCAAGAUUCGUUGUAAUUGUAUAAAUAGAGAACUAUUGUCAUUUACUAGGAAAAACCGAAAAUGGUACUAAAAGAAUACUGAAAUAUACUGAAACAUUUCAGCUGAUUGUUGUUCGACUAACAAGUUUAAAGAUCUUUGAAAUACAACCACGAAAUUCUAAUUGCGGAUUCUGACAUCCAUAAUUUGGCGCUAGAAGAAGGGUGGUUUAAGUGUUUUACUUCAGAGCAACGAUCAGUCUACCAUGAGUAACACCGACGACCAGAACUCCGGCGACCAUGCCUCCACCCUUGCUGAUAUCAAGAAGCUGCUUAAGGAGCUUUCCGACAAAACAGAGCGGCAGCAGUCCACCGAAACGUCUUUGUCCGAAAAGAAGAAUGCAGUGGCCAGCUCGCAGCGCUCACCACCAGUCAUUCCGAAAUCAGGGAAGCUCACAACGCGUAUGUAGAUCGAGUUGACACUCUCUCUACAGGAACGCUGUGUACCGCAGGAGUCUAAGCACAGCUCGACUUUCAGGGAACCGUUAGUACGAGUGUCCAAAACUCACAAGCGGAAGUAGAUCAGCAAACUCCGUCACAUCAACUGCCAUGUGGCUCUCCGAUGGAAGUUGGAGCUACCUCGCAUUAGGACACUGUGAGAGUCGAAACUCACAUAACCGAAAUUUCUUCAUUCGGCUAUACCCUCGAAGAUUCUUCAUUAUCAUAUCUGGAUUCUUCGGAAAUGGUCUUUGGAUCGUUUUGGUAAGAUGUGCAAAGUCUUUGCCUCAGGCUACUAUGAAACGCUAGGAAUCAGCUCGGUGCAUAUUCUACGCGACCAGAAGUCCUCCUAGACGACCCUAAAUGAUCCUCUAGACGUCCAUUCUCUGCUCGGGUGUGUUUAUUGGAAUAACAACCAAGCCGCAUGGUAGUUUCAUCUCGGAAUCCCAAGUGUUUCCUUUCCCGGCUCGGGUAUGUUUCCUGGAAUGACAACCGAACCGGGUACGGAUACCCGAGCGAGUAGCGUCCUGUGAAUAGUUUCCCUACUGUUUGUAGUAGGCUGAGCUCCCGAAGCCUUUUUGUUUGGCUCGGUCUUCUGGGGAAAUCCGACCCCAACAGUUUGCCCCCACCUCGUUAUUUUUAUUGCGAGAAACAACGAGCUGUAUGAGUACGGUGACCGAGCUGGCCGAUCGUUUUCCUAUCCCGCAGCUUUUGACGCUUCAACUUCCGGGACGGUCAAACUUCUUUGCGUGUAGCCGCUCUUUUCUCUCGAGAAGGGGAAAUGUCUUCGCUAAUUCCCGAGGUUCACGCGGGUGUCCCGUAUUUUGACGAGGCCACGCGCCAACGACGCGGUUCGUGAUUUCCUCCGAACCCAACGCACCCUAAAAGUUCUAUAAAUAAUAAAGCAUUCUUUAAGAAUUUCAUUUGAAGUUCCGAAGGAAAAAGUUUCGAGGUUUUCUUUCUCUCCUCUAAUCUUGAUUUCUUUAUAUUCUUCUAUAUUUCCGGUGAACCUCCGUCGUCUUUUAGGUUUGUUUUGAUUUUCCUGGUUAGAAAUUUCUGGUUACGGCUUUUGCUUUGUCAAAACUCCGUGCACCGAGACGAUCUCCCUCCGAUCCAUAAAAGGAGGAUGGUUUGGAGCUCGUCGGAAGAUGCCGAACCGAGUUCGAGUCACCAGGGUGAUGCGACUUCAUCAUCUAAUACGCCCGAAGAGCCGAGCCCUUUCAUGGCUCAAGAAGAUACUUCCGCUGAUAUAUCUCGGGAACUCGAUCUUCGAGAGGAUCCUGAGCCAUCUCUUGUUCGAAGGCCUCAUGUCCCAACUGCUAACGAGGCUGGAACAUCGAAUUGGCGAGAUGUGUCUGAACCCUUGUUUCCCCAGGUGAAGGUUGA
RNAcentral lists this small RNA (3310 nucleotides) under Arabidopsis thaliana (thale cress). Its description in RNAcentral is "ATSL266460". The record is from RNAcentral. Lineage: Eukaryota; Viridiplantae; Streptophyta; Magnoliopsida; Brassicales; Brassicaceae.